CGCUGGCGGCAUGCCUAACACAUGCAAGUCGAGCGAAGUCUUCGGACUUAGUGGCGCACGGGUGCGUAACGCGUGGGAAUCUGCCCUUGGGUACGGAAUAACUCAGAGAAAUUUGUGCUAAUACCGUAUAAUGACUUCGGUCCAAAGAUUUAUCGCCCAAGGAUGAGCCCGCGUAAGAUUAGCUGGUUGGUGGGGUAAAAGCCUACCAAGGCGACGAUCUUUAGCUGGUCUGAGAGGAUGAUCAGCCACACUGGGACUGAGACACGGCCCAGACUCCUACGGGAGGCAGCAGUGGGGAAUAUUGGACAAUGGGCGAAAGCCUGAUCCAGCAAUGCCGCGUGAGUGAUGAAGGCCUUAGGGUUGUAAAGCUCUUUUACCCGGGAUGAUAAUGACAGUACCGGGAGAAUAAGCUCCGGCUAACUCCGUGCCAGCAGCCGCGGUAAUACGGAGGGAGCUAGCGUUGUUCGGAAUUACUGGGCGUAAAGCGCGCGUAGGCGGUUUUUUAAGUCAGAGGUGAAAGCCCAGUGCUCAACACUGGAACUGCCUUUGAAACUGGAAAACUUGAAUCUUGGAGAGGUCAGUGGAAUUCCGAGUGUAGAGGUGAAAUUCGUAGAUAUUCGGAAGAACACCAGUGGCGAAGGCGACUGACUGGACAAGUAUUGACGCUGAGGUGCGAAAGCGUGGGGAGCAAACAGG
RNAcentral lists this ribosomal RNA (696 nucleotides) under uncultured Alphaproteobacteria bacterium. RNAcentral describes it as "bacterial SSU rRNA". It matches the Rfam family "Bacterial small subunit ribosomal RNA", at positions 34 to 776 of the family's 1533-position model. The record is from RNAcentral. Lineage: Bacteria; Pseudomonadati; Pseudomonadota; Alphaproteobacteria.